AAACUGCCAUAUCCCUUGACUGCAUCAUCACUUGCCAGCAUGUGAGAUUGCAGUCAAGGGCUAACUUGUCUUUGAAUAAAUAAAAAAUCGUAGGAAGCAAUUUACUGAGAGCUCACGUCUAUGACCAGCACGCCACGAUUUCAAAAUAUCUAUGUCCACCAGUGGACGUCAUCAGCCGAUACAUAUAAAAUUAAAUAGGAAAAGUUUACGGACGACAAGAAAUUAAACGAUACUGGAUACCUAUUAUGUAAAAGUUGCUCAAUUUAAAUAAGCCAGGAGUUCAAUUCGAUACAAAUACGGUUUUCUAAGCCGCAGAAAACCUUUUUAUGGUAGCAAAGGUCAAAUAGAAAUGUUACCGAUGUGAACUUCAAGCUUAGUUAAAUAACUACUGGUAGAAACUAGGUAUCAACAUCGUUUAAAAACUAAUAGUUAUCAGUAUAGGACAAUAAAGUCAUACAUAAAAUGGACCUAAAACUUCAAUAAGAUCGCAGUAGAUGGUAGAGUAGAAGCACAGAGGACGCUGCUGCCCGUCCUCCGCUAUAUUCCCUUAGUCGCCUCGUACGACACCCGCGGGAAGAGGUGGGGUUGUGACAACUGUAUUCUAAUCUGCCGUCACCACACGGCACCAAGGUAUUUAGGCCCACUUUACUCGAAAUCUAUAAACGUUUUCGAGGUGUAAAAACUCGUUCUAAACACAGAACACUUGCUGUAUCUUCAUAAUGAUUAUAACAUUGUUG
Molecule: long non-coding RNA, 737 nt
Organism: Maniola jurtina (meadow brown)
Lineage: Eukaryota; Metazoa; Arthropoda; Insecta; Lepidoptera; Nymphalidae
Exons: 2
Source: RefSeq, a predicted model, not a curated record